RNAcentral lists this unclassified non-coding RNA (2075 nucleotides) under Hevea brasiliensis (rubber tree). Lineage: Eukaryota; Viridiplantae; Streptophyta; Magnoliopsida; Malpighiales; Euphorbiaceae. The record is from RNAcentral.
AACUACCAAAAUAUAUUAGGAAGGAAAAGAAAAAGGGAAACCAUAUAUAUAAUUGUUUCAUACAUGAAAUUGAACUUACUAACCUUCACAGACAAGUCUGCAAAUCCAUAGCUACCUACCGUUACCAGCUGCAAAAACAAGUACCAAAAGCAGCCUCCAUGAACAUCCUCUUAAGUUUUCAGAGCCCCUUCUUUAAUUUUCUCUCAAUCAAUGAAUUAAUGGGAAGAAAAAUCUCCAUCACAGCCAUAUAUAUCUGUUUAUCAUACAAAAUGAUGGAGCUUAGCUUUGCAUAUCCCAAAAUCUGAUUAUGCUUUUCUAUUUGAUAUUUGCUCCCUGGAAAAUUAAGUUGUCCUCUUAAAAUGAUGGCCUUGCACCACUCCCAUCCCAUCCAAACAAAUCACCGGAAAAUGGAUACACAUUCCCUCCCGUGUUAAAAAAACCACUACCGCUGCCGCUGCCACUACCGCUGCCUCGUCCUCCACCAUCUCCCAGCUGCCCAGACCCACCACCUCCUGUCACACCUGAAGACUGUGACGCCGUGGACUGACCUUGAACGUUUCCUUCCUCCUCCUCCAAGGGCAAUCGCUCAAACACAGCGUUUGCAAAUGAUGCAGCCAUCAAAACCACCGGCCCAGAAGCCAACAAAGGUCCUACCACGCUUCCUCCAACAACCUGUCCCUGUCCACCAGACAAGAAUAUCGACAAUCCCCCUGCCCCAGGAGGCGCUGGUGGAGGAAGCACCGUUCCAGAGAGCGAAAGAAUCUCGAACCGACCGUGCAAAGUCACUACACUAGCCGCAGGAGACCCUGGUUGCUUCAAUGUAACAUUAACAACUGUCCCGUUGCCGCUAAGUACACAGACUCCUCUUCCUCUUUUCCUCGCGUAAUUGGAUACGCUCUCCAUGAUGUCACUGCCGGCGGAAACCUCUAGCACAUGGGAUCGAAGGGCAUUAGGGCUGUCACGCGUUACGAUAAUCGGGGGCUUGGGUUUGUUCUUGGAGCCAGGAGGGCGGCCUCGAGGGCGGCGAUUGCUUCCAGAGCUGGUGGGGGCGACGUCGGUAUCAUCUGGCUUGUGGUCUUCGGCUUGAGGUGAGGUAUUUUCUUUAGAAUCCGGGGAUGUUUGGGCUGGAAUCGAAAGUCUUUGGAGAAGUAGCUCAGGUCUGAGGAGCUGAUGAACAUAGCGAGAACCUGCACCUGUUGCUGCUGGCUCAUACCCCGCCAUCGCCACAUCUACUCUCUCCCACCACUUAUUUGCCAGCUUUCUCUUCUUCGCUUCUCACCCGAUCUGAUUCUCACAAGAAAUUAAGCUUUUCUGUCCAGCGAGAGAGAGACCAACAAGAUCCACCGAAGAAUUGAAUAAUUCCUUCUAAUUAGCUCACACUGGUUUAGCUUUCAAGAAAUGAAGUUGGAGAAUUGUUCUUUUGUAAUCCCAAGUGAUCAAAGAGAGGAUCCAGGAGCUAGAGAUCAGUUACUAAUCCUCGGACACUUUAACUUGAAUUCUCUCUGACUUCAUACCCACAAAAUCACAAGUCCCGAAAUAGAGCUGACAAAGCUAUAAUUCAUCAACAACCGCUUUCCGAUGUAGUAAAACCCUCAAAAGAGUUAUAUAUUAAAGCCAAAGCUUAUAAUUCUGGUCAUGUUUAGCAGUUUUUGUGAAAGAGGAAAUUGGUUUGCAUCCCAAAACAGGAAUAUCAGAUCUUUCAAAGGGAAGAAAAUAACAGAUCAGAUUGAUGAUAUAGAUAUGCACUUAAAGCAACCAAAAAAGACUAUACAUAUAUAUUUACAAUUACUUGAAGAUGAAGAGAGAAGAGAGACUUAUCAGUGAAAAUUGUGGGAUAGUUGAGCUGUGAAGAGAAAAAAGAAAAGAAAAGAGAAGCAGAAAGGAAUAUUGAAAACUGUUUAGGUUAACAAGAAUGAAGGAGUUUGGAUAGCGAGAAAGAAGAUUGAUCAGGGAAGAGAAAGACAUGAUAAUAAGAGAGUUUUCGAGGGGAAAAUGGUGGAAAAGCGUGCGGUAAAAGCAGAAUCCAAGCAAUUUCCUUGAAAACAAGGGCCUUCGCUCUUUUGACCUCAUUUGCC